AUUAGAUCUCAAAUCAGGUAGGACUACCCGCUGAACUUAAGCAUAUCAAUAAGCGGAGGAAAAGAAACUAACAAGGAUUCCCCUAGUAGCGGCGAGCGAAGCGGGAAGAGCUCAAAUUUAUAAUCUGGCACCUUCGGUGUCCGAGUUGUAAUCUCUAGAAAUGUUUUCCGCGCUGGACCGCACACAAGUCUGUUGGAAUACAGCGGCAUAGUGGUGAGACCCCCGUAUAUGGUGCGGAUGCCCAGCGCUUUGUGAUACAUUUUCGAAGAGUCGAGUUGUUUGGGAAUGCAGCUCAAAUUGGGUGGUAAAUUCCAUCUAAAGCUAAAUAUUGGCGAGAGACCGAUAGCGAACAAGUACCGUGAGGGAAAGAUGAAAAGCACUUUGGAAAGAGAGUUAACAGUACGUGAAAUUGUUGGAAGGGAAACGCUUGAAGUCAGACUUGCUUGCCGAGCAAUCGGUUUGCAGGCCAGCAUCAGUUUUCCGGGAUGGAUAAUGGUAGAGAGAAGGUAGCAGUUUCGGCUGUGUUAUAGCUCUCUACUGGAUACAUCUUGGGGGACUGAGGAACGCAGUGUGCCUUACGGCGGGGGUUUCGACCUCUUCACACUUAGGAUGCUGGUGGAAUGGCUUUAAACGACCCGUCUUGAAACACG
RNAcentral lists this ribosomal RNA (650 nucleotides) under Rhodotorula dairenensis. RNAcentral's name for it is "eukaryotic LSU rRNA". It matches the Rfam family "Eukaryotic large subunit ribosomal RNA", at positions 1 to 663 of the family's 3401-position model. Lineage: Eukaryota; Fungi; Basidiomycota; Microbotryomycetes; Sporidiobolales; Sporidiobolaceae. The record is from RNAcentral.